RNAcentral lists this ribosomal RNA (500 nucleotides) under uncultured bacterium. RNAcentral's name for it is "partial 16S ribosomal RNA". It matches the Rfam family "Bacterial small subunit ribosomal RNA", at positions 30 to 523 of the family's 1533-position model. The record is from RNAcentral.
AUUGAACGCUGGCGGCAUGCCUUACACAUGCAAGUCGAACGGUAACAGGGAGCUUGCUCCGCUGACGAGUGGCGAACGGGUGAGUAAUGUAUCGGAACGUACCUUUUAGUGGGGGAUAACGUAGCGAAAGUUACGCUAAUACCGCAUAUUCUCUGAGGAGGAAAGCAGGGGACCUUCGGGCCUUGCGCUAAUAGAGCGGCUGAUAUCAGAUUAGCUAGUUGGUGAGGUAAAGGCUCACCAAGGCGACGAUCUGUAGCGGGUCUGAGAGGAUGAUCCGCCGCACUGGAACUGAGCCACGGUCCAGACUCCUACGGGAGGCAGCAGUGGGGAAUUUUGGACAAUGGGGGCAACCCUGAUCCAGCCAUGCCGCGUGAGUGAAGAAGGCCUUCGGGUUGUAAAGCUCUUUCGGCCGGGAAAAAAUCGCAUGGGCUAAUACCCUGUGUGGAUGAUGGUACCGGAAUAAGAAGCACCGGCUAACUACGUGCCAGCCGCCGCAGUAA